This 274-nucleotide ribosomal RNA is filed under the name uncultured bacterium. RNAcentral describes it as "partial 16S ribosomal RNA". It matches the Rfam family "Bacterial small subunit ribosomal RNA", at positions 523 to 796 of the family's 1533-position model. The record is from RNAcentral.
AUACGGAGGGUGCAAGCGUUACUCGGAAUCACUGGGCGUAAAGCGCGCGCAGGCGGCUAUUUAAGUUGGAUGUGAAAGCCUACGGCUCAACCGUAGAACUGCAUCCAAAACUAUUUAGCUAGAGUGUGGGAGAGGAAGAUGGAAUUAGUUGUGUAGGGGUAAAAUCCGUAGAGAUAACUAGGAAUACCAAAAGCGAAGGCAAUCUUCUGGAACACUUCUGACGCUGAGGCGCGAAAGCGUGGGGAGCAAACGGGAUUAGAAACCCUAGUAGUCC